CUGGCGGCGUGCUUAACACAUGCAAGUUGAACGGUAUGACAUGGAAGCUUGCUGAAGUGUCAUAUAGUAGCGGACGGGUGAGUAAUGCAUGAGAAGCUGCCAUUGGGAGGGGGACAACAGUUGGAAACGGCUGCUAAUACCCCGUAUGCCGGAAGGUGAAAGGGAGCGAUCCGCCCGAUGAGGUGCUCAUGUCCUAUCAGCUGGUUGGUGGGGUAACGGCCUACCAAGGCGACGACGGGUAGCCGGCCUGAGAGGGUGAACGGCCACACUGGAACUGAGAUACGGUCCAGACUCCUACGGGAGGCAGCAGUGGGGAAUAUUUGGGCAAUGGGGGCAACCCUGACCCAGCGACGCCGCGGGGUGGGGGAAGACGGCCUUCGGGUUGUAAACCUCUUUUGUACGGGAAGAAGGAAGUGACGGUACUGUACGAAUAAGUCCCGGCUAACUACGUGCCAGCCGCCGC
RNAcentral lists this ribosomal RNA (463 nucleotides) under uncultured bacterium. RNAcentral's name for it is "bacterial SSU rRNA". It matches the Rfam family "Bacterial small subunit ribosomal RNA", at positions 36 to 518 of the family's 1533-position model. The record is from RNAcentral.